AUCCUUGUAGCGCAAUAAAUAGUGCGUUGGACUUCUAAUCCAAAAUUCCUGGGUUCGAACCCUACCUGGGAUG
This is a non-coding RNA of Trichonephila inaurata madagascariensis, 73 nucleotides long. The record is from the annotation of a GenBank genome assembly. Lineage: Eukaryota; Metazoa; Arthropoda; Arachnida; Araneae; Nephilidae.